AGAGUUUGAUCCUGGCUCAGGAUGAACGCUGGCGGCGUGCCUAACACAUGCAAGUCGAACGGAGUUCUUAAGGAAUGCGACUUCGGUCAAAUGACUUUUGAACUUAGUGGCGGACGGGUGAGUAACGCGUGAGCAACCUGCCUUUCAGAGGGGGAUAACAUUUGGAAACAGAUGCUAAUACCGCAUAAGAUUACAGUACCGCAUGAUACAGUGAUCAAAGGAGCAAUCCGCUGAAAGAUGGGCUCGCGUCCGAUUAGAUAGUUGGUGAGGUAACGGCUCACCAAGUCGACGAUCGGUAGCCGGACUGAGAGGUUGAACGGCCACAUUGGGACUGAGACACGGCCCAGACUCCUACGGGGGGCAGCAGUGGGGAAUAUUGCACAAUGGGCGAAAGCCUGAUGCAGCAACGCCGCGUGAGGGAAGACGGUUUUCGGAUUGUAAACCUCUGUUUUCGGUGACGAACAAAUGACGGUAACCGAGUAGGAAGCCACGGCUAACUACGUGCCAGCAGCCGCGGUAAUACGUAGGUGGCAAGCGUUAUCCGGAAUUACUGGGUGUAAAGGGAGCGCAGGCGGGAUAGCAAGUCAGUUGUGAAAACUAUGGGCUCAACCCAUAAACUGCAGUUGAAACUGUUAUUCUUGAGUGGAGUAGAGGCAAGCGGAAUUCCGAGUGUAGCGGUGAAAUGCGUAGAUAUUCGGAGGAACACCAGUGGCGAAGGCGGCUUGCUGGGCUCUAACUGACGCUGAGGCUCGAAAGUGUGGGGAGCAAACAGGAUUAGAUACCCUGGUAGUCCACACUGUAAACGAUGAUUGCUAGGUGUGGGGGGGGCUGACCCCCUCCGUGCCGGAAUUUAACGCAAUAAG
RNAcentral lists this ribosomal RNA (863 nucleotides) under uncultured bacterium. Its description in RNAcentral is "bacterial SSU rRNA". It matches the Rfam family "Bacterial small subunit ribosomal RNA", at positions 8 to 864 of the family's 1533-position model. The record is from RNAcentral.